RNAcentral lists this ribosomal RNA (400 nucleotides) under phytoplankton environmental sample. Its description in RNAcentral is "partial small subunit ribosomal RNA". It matches the Rfam family "Eukaryotic small subunit ribosomal RNA", at positions 587 to 985 of the family's 1831-position model. The record is from RNAcentral.
AGCUCCAAUAGCGUAUAUUAAAGUUGUUGCAGUUAAAAAGCUCGUAGUUGGAUUUGGGGCGCUGGUGGGACGGUCGGCCGCGAGGUCUGUUACUGUCUCUCCGCGCCAUGACAUUCUCGGAGACCCGUCGUGCACUUCGCUGUGCGCGGCGUGGGACUCGAGACGUUUACUUUGAAAAAAUUAGAGUGUUCAAAGCAGGCUCUUACAGCCCGGAUACAUGAGCAUGGAAUAAUGGAAUAGGACCGCGGUCUUAUUUUGUUGGUUUCUAAAACCGCAGUAAUGAUUAAGAGGGACAAUUGGGGGCGUCCGUAUUUCGUUGUCAGAGGUGAAAUUCUUGGAUUUACGAAAGACGAACAACUGCGAAAGCAUUCGCCAAGAGUGUUUUCAUUAAUCAAGAACG